CAUGCUUCUCUGCCUCUUGGCUAAGUUAAAUUGUAGUAGUUGUUCAUAUCAAUUUAAUAUUAGAUAUGUCCCUUAUCUGGGGACCAUGUAUUAGAGUAAUUGUUUGGAACACGGAGAUGGAAUAGGAGCUUUGCUCCAUCCACUCCAUGCACCGACCUGGCAUUGUAGUACUUCUAGGAACAAUGCACAUUCC
This is a small nuclear RNA of Protopterus annectens (West African lungfish), 193 nucleotides long. RefSeq annotates it as U2 spliceosomal RNA. Lineage: Eukaryota; Metazoa; Chordata; Ceratodontiformes; Protopteridae. The transcript has a single exon. The record is from RefSeq and is a predicted model, not a curated record.